RNAcentral lists this ribosomal RNA (788 nucleotides) under Haptophyta environmental samples. RNAcentral describes it as "eukaryotic LSU rRNA". It matches the Rfam family "Eukaryotic large subunit ribosomal RNA", at positions 134 to 1004 of the family's 3401-position model. Lineage: Eukaryota; Haptophyta. The record is from RNAcentral.
CGCCCCGAAUUGUAGUCUAGAAAGGCGCCAUCGGCCGCGUCCUCCGCUUAAGUUCCUUGGAAUAGGAGAGACGGAGAAGGUGAGAUCCCUGUACCGUGGAGGUUCUCGGCCGCACGAUGCGCCCUUGCAGAGUCGGGUUGCUUGGGAUUGCAGCUUGAAUUGGGUGGUAAAUUCCAUCUAAAGCUAAAUAUUGGCUCAUGACCGAUAGCGAACAAGUACCGUGAGGGAAAGAUGCAAAGAACUUUGAAAAGAGAGUUAAAGAGUGCUUGAAAUCGGCAAGAGGAAACCCGUUUGCGCCCGGUGUUCGUUGUUCCAUUUUAGCCGUUUCGAAGCGGUGUACUGUGGAGCGCGGGGUCCCUCGCGCUUGCAGGUGCUUCAGAAUCACUCGGGGGGCCAUUUGGUGAGCCGAGAGAUGUGGCGCUUGUGAGCUCGGUGGACGUAACGGGCGCAACCGACCCGUCUAGAAACACGGACCAAGGAGUCUGACACGGAUGCGAGUACCCGGGUGGCAAGCCCGCGUGCGCAAUGAAAGUGAAGGGCGUGCCCCGCCAACCGACCUUGAUCUUCUGUGAAGGGUUUGAGUCGAGCAUCACUGUCGGGACCCGAAAGAUGGUGAACUUUGCCUGAGGAGGUUGAAGUCUGCCGAAAGGCAGAUGGAGGGCCGUAGCGAUACUGACGUGCAAAUCGUUCGUCGAACUUGGGUAAAGGGGCGAAAGACUAAUCGAACCAUCUAGUAGCUGGUUCCCUCCGAAGUUUCCCUCAGGAUAGCUUGGACGCAAGGGUUUUGU